AGGGAAUCUUCCACAAUGGACGGAAGUCUGAUGGAGCAACGCCGCGUGAGUGAUGAAGGUUUUCGGAUCGUAAAACUCUGUUGUAAGGGAAGAACCAGUACGUCAGGCAAUGGACGUACCUUGACGGUACCUUAUUAGAAAGCCACGGCUAACUACGUGCCAGCAGCCGCGGUAAUACGUAGGUGGCAAGCGUUGUCCGGAAUUAUUGGGCGUAAAGCGCGCGCAGGUGGUUUCUUAAGUCUGAUGUGAAAGCCCACGGCUUAAACAUAGUUGGCAUUUGAAACUGUAUUACUUGAGUGCAGGAGAGGUAAGUGGAAUUCCUAGUGUAGCGGUGAAAUGCGUAGAUAUUAGGAGGAACACCAGUGGCGAAGGCGACUUACUGGACUGUAACUGACGCUGAGUCACGAAAGCGUGGGUAGCAAACA
Molecule: ribosomal RNA, 425 nt
Filed under: uncultured Bacillota bacterium
Lineage: Bacteria; Bacillati; Bacillota
Description: bacterial SSU rRNA
Rfam family: Bacterial small subunit ribosomal RNA
Source: RNAcentral